GCCGGGUGUUGUGGGGCGCCUGUGGUCCCACUACUUGGGAGGCGGAGGCAGGAGACUCACUUGAGCCCAGGAGUUGGAGGUUGCUGUGAGCUGUGAUGCCACAGCACUUUACCCAGGGGGACAGCCUGAGGCUCUGUCUCAAAAAAAGGAGACAGUCUCACUAUGUUGCCCUUGGUAGAGUGACAUGGUGUCACAGCUCACAGCAACCUCAAACUCUUGGGCUUAAGCAAUUCUCUUGCC
This 240-nucleotide small RNA is filed under the name Otolemur garnettii (small-eared galago). Its description in RNAcentral is "Metazoan signal recognition particle RNA (ENSOGAG00000025724.1)". The record is from RNAcentral. Lineage: Eukaryota; Metazoa; Chordata; Mammalia; Primates; Galagidae.